This 1434-nucleotide ribosomal RNA is filed under the name uncultured organism. Its description in RNAcentral is "SSU rRNA". It matches the Rfam family "Bacterial small subunit ribosomal RNA". The record is from RNAcentral.
ACGCUAGCUACAGGCUUAACACAUGCAAGUCGAGGGGCAUCAGGAAGAAAGCUUGCUUUCUUUGCUGGCGACCGGCGCACGGGUGAGUAACACGUAUCCAACCUGCCCUUUACUCGGGGAUAGCCUUUCGAAAGAAAGAUUAAUACCCGAUAGCAUAAUGAUUCCGCAUGGUUUCAUUAUUAAAGGAUUCCGGUAAAGGAUGGGGAUGCGUUCCAUUAGGUUGUUGGUGGGGUAACGGCCCACCAAGCCUUCGAUGGAUAGGGGUUCUGAGAGGAAGGUCCCCCACAUUGGAACUGAGACACGGUCCAAACUCCUACGGGAGGCAGCAGUGAGGAAUAUUGGUCAAUGGGCGCUAGCCUGAACCAGCCAAGUAGCGUGAAGGAUGAAGGCUCUAUGGGUCGUAAACUUCUUUUAUAUAAGAAUAAAGUGCAGUAUGUAUACUGUUUUGUAUGUAUUAUAUGAAUAAGGAUCGGCUAACUCCGUGCCAGCAGCCGCGGUAAUACGGAGGAUCCGAGCGUUAUCCGGAUUUAUUGGGUUUAAAGGGAGCGUAGGUGGACUGGUAAGUCAGUUGUGAAAGUUUGCGGCUCAACCGUAAAAUUGCAGUUGAUACUGUCAGUCUUGAGUACAGUAGAGGUGGGCGGAAUUCGUGGUGUAGCGGUGAAAUGCUUAGAUAUCACGAAGAACUCCGAUUGCGAAGGCAGCUCACUGGACUGCAACUGACACUGAUGCUCGAAAGUGUGGGUAUCAAACAGGAUUAGAUACCCUGGUAGUCCACACAGUAAACGAUGAAUACUCGCUGUUUGCGAUAUACAGUAAGCGGCCAAGCGAAAGCAUUAAGUAUUCCACCUGGGGAGUACGCCGGCAACGGUGAAACUCAAAGGAAUUGACGGGGGCCCGCACAAGCGGAGGAACAUGUGGUUUAAUUCGAUGAUACGCGAGGAACCUUACCCGGGCUUAAAUUGCAGUGGAAUGAUGUGGAAACAUGUCAGUGAGCAAUCACCGCUGUGAAGGUGCUGCAUGGUUGUCGUCAGCUCGUGCCGUGAGGUGUCGGCUUAAGUGCCAUAACGAGCGCAACCCUUAUCUUUAGUUACUAACAGGUUAUGCUGAGGACUCUAGAGAGACUGCCGUCGUAAGAUGUGAGGAAGGUGGGGAUGACGUCAAAUCAGCACGGCCCUUACGUCCGGGGCUACACACGUGUUACAAUGGGGGGUACAGAAGGCAGCUAGCGGGUGACCGUAUGCUAAUCCCAAAAUCCUCUCUCAGUUCGGAUCGAAGUCUGCAACCCGACUUCGUGAAGCUGGAUUCGCUAGUAAUCGCGCAUCAGCCACGGCGCGGUGAAUACGUUCCCGGGCCUUGUACACACCGCCCGUCAAGCCAUGGGAGCCGGGGGUACCUGAAGUACGUAACCGCAAGGAUCGUCCUAGGGUAAAACUG